GUGGGGAAUAUUGCGCAAUGGGGGAAACCCUGACGCAGCAAUACCGCGUGAGUGAAGAAGGUUUUCGGAUCGUAAAACUCUUUUAUUGGGGAAGAAGAAGUGACGGUACCCAAUGAAGAAGUCCCGGCUAACUACGUGCCAGCAGCCGCGGUAAUACGUAGGGGACAAGCGUUGUCCGGAAUCACUGGGCGUAAAGGGCGCGUAGGCGGUUUUAUAAGUCAGAUAGGAAAGGUACCGGCUCAACCGGUGACGUGCAUUUGAAACUGUAAGACUUGAGUACUGGAGAGGCAAGUGGAAUUCCUAGUGUAGCGGUGAAAUGCGUAGAUAUUAGGAGGAACACCGGUGGCGAAGGCGGCUUGCUGGACAGAUACUGACGCUGAGGUGCGAAAGCGUGGGGAGCGAACAGGAUUAGAAACCCGGGUAGUCC
Molecule: ribosomal RNA, 427 nt
Filed under: uncultured bacterium
Lineage: Bacteria
Description: partial 16S ribosomal RNA
Rfam family: Bacterial small subunit ribosomal RNA
Source: RNAcentral